GCGCCCGUAGCUCAGUUGGCAGAGCGGUGGUGGGAAGGUACCCCACAGUCCCGGGUUCAAGUCCCGGCGGUCGCU
This is a non-coding RNA of Phthorimaea operculella (potato tuberworm), 75 nucleotides long. NCBI's taxonomy places the organism in Eukaryota, Metazoa, Arthropoda, Insecta, Lepidoptera, Gelechiidae. The record is from the annotation of a GenBank genome assembly.